This 279-nucleotide ribosomal RNA is filed under the name uncultured bacterium. Its description in RNAcentral is "partial 16S ribosomal RNA". It matches the Rfam family "Bacterial small subunit ribosomal RNA", at positions 506 to 784 of the family's 1533-position model. The record is from RNAcentral.
UGCCAGCCGCCGCGGUAAUACGGAGGGGGUUAGCGUUGUUCGGAAUUACUGGGCGUAAAGCGUACGUAGGCGGAUCAGAAAGUAUAGGGUGAAAUCCCGGGGCUCAACCCCGGAAGUGCAUUGGAAACUGGCGAACUUGAGUACGGGAGAGGAAAGUGGAAUUCCGAGUGUAGGGGUGAAAUCCGUAGAUAUUCGGAGGAACACCAGUGGCGAAGGCGGCUUUCUGGACCGAUACUGACGCUGAGACGCGAAAGCGUGGGGAGCAAACAGGAUUAGAUA